CGGGAUGUAGCUCAGCUUGGUAGAGCGCUGCGUUCGGGACGCAGAGGUCGUGGGUUCGAAUCCCGCCAUCCCGACCA
RNAcentral lists this transfer RNA (77 nucleotides) under Armatimonadota bacterium. RNAcentral's name for it is "Armatimonadetes bacterium tRNA-Pro". It matches the Rfam family "tRNA". Rfam says of the family: Transfer RNA (tRNA) molecules are approximately 80 nucleotides in length. Their secondary structure includes four short double-helical elements and three loops (D, anti-codon, and T loops). The record is from RNAcentral. RNAcentral also lists the same sequence under 1 other name. Lineage: Bacteria; Bacillati; Armatimonadota.